AGGUGAUAUGAACCGUUAUAGCCGGCGAUGUCCGAAUGGGGAAACCCAGUGCAAUCCGUUGCACUAUCACAGCAUGAAUACAUAGUGCUGUGAGGCGAACCGGGGGAACUGAAACAUCUAAGUACCCCGAGGAAAAGAAAUCAACCGAGAUUCCCCCAGUAGCGGCGAGCGAACGGGGAACAGCCCAGAGCCUGAAUCAGCCUGAGUGUUAGUGGAAGCGUCUGGAAAGUCGCGCGAUACAGGGUGACAGCCCCGUACACAAAAGCACACAGGUUGUGAGCUCGAUGAGUAGGGCGGGACACGUGGUAUCCUGUCUGAAUAUGGGGGGACCAUCCUCCAAGGCUAAAUACUCCUGACUGACCGAUAGUGAACCAGUACCGUGAGGGAAAGGCGAAAAGAACCCCGGCGAGGGGAGUGAAACAGAACCUGAAACCGUGUACGUACAAGCAGUGGGAGCCUCUUUUAUGGGGUGACUGCGUACCUUUUGUAUAAUGGGUCAGCGACUUAUAUUCUGUAGCAAGGUUAACCGUAUAGGGGAGCCGCAGGGAAACCGAGUCUUAACUGGGCGUUAAGUUGCAGGGUAUAGACCCGAAACCCGGUGAUCUAGCCAUGGGCAGGUUGAAGGUUGGGUAACACUAACUGGAGGACCGAACCGACUAAUGUUGAAAAAUUAGCGGAUGACCUGUGGCUGGGGGUGAAAGGCCAAUCAAACCGGGAGAUAGCUGGUUCUCCCCGAAAGCUAUUUAGGUAGCGCCUCGUGAA
RNAcentral lists this ribosomal RNA (762 nucleotides) under Kosakonia cowanii. RNAcentral describes it as "partial 23S ribosomal RNA". It matches the Rfam family "Bacterial large subunit ribosomal RNA", at positions 84 to 888 of the family's 2925-position model. Lineage: Bacteria; Pseudomonadati; Pseudomonadota; Gammaproteobacteria; Enterobacterales; Enterobacteriaceae. The record is from RNAcentral.